RNAcentral lists this ribosomal RNA (469 nucleotides) under Corynebacterium sp. 'ARUP UnID 243'. Its description in RNAcentral is "bacterial SSU rRNA". It matches the Rfam family "Bacterial small subunit ribosomal RNA", at positions 27 to 506 of the family's 1533-position model. The record is from RNAcentral. RNAcentral also lists the same sequence under 1 other name. Lineage: Bacteria; Bacillati; Actinomycetota; Actinomycetes; Mycobacteriales; Corynebacteriaceae.
GGAUGAACGCUGGCGGCGUGCUUAACACAUGCAAGUCGAACGGAAAGGCCUCUGCUUGCAGGGGUACUCGAGUGGCGAACGGGUGAGUAACACGUGGGUGAUCUGCCUUGUACUUCGGGAUAAGCCUGGGAAACUGGGUCUAAUACCGGAUAGGACCAAUCUUUAGUGUGGUUGGUGGAAAGUUUUUUCGGUACGAGAUGAGCCCGCGGCCUAUCAGCUUGUUGGUGGGGUAAUGGCCUACCAAGGCGACGACGGGUAGCCGGCCUGAGAGGGUGUACGGCCACAUUGGGACUGAGACACGGCCCAGACUCCUACGGGAGGCAGCAGUGGGGAAUAUUGCACAAUGGGCGGAAGCCUGAUGCAGCGACGCCGCGUGAGGGAUGACGGCCUUCGGGUUGUAAACCUCUUUCGCUAGGGAAGAAGCCUUUUUGGUGACGGUACCUGGAUAAGAAGCACCGGCUAACUACGU